RNAcentral lists this ribosomal RNA (562 nucleotides) under uncultured bacterium. Its description in RNAcentral is "bacterial SSU rRNA". It matches the Rfam family "Bacterial small subunit ribosomal RNA", at positions 337 to 916 of the family's 1533-position model. The record is from RNAcentral.
UCCUACGGGAGGCAGCAGUGGGGAAUAUUGCACAAUGGGCGAAAGCCUGAUGCAGCCAUACCGCGUGAGUGAAGAAGGCCUUCGGGUCGUAAAGCUCUUUUAUGGGGGAAGAUGAUGACGGUACCCCAUGAAUAAGCACCGGCUAACUACGUGCCAGCAGCCGCGGUAAUACGUAGGGUGCGAGCGUUGUUCGGAAUUACUGGGCGUAAAGGGCGUGCAGGCGGAUUGGCAAGCCGGAGGUGAAAGCCCGGGGCUCAACCCCGGAGGGUCUUUCGGAACUGCCAGUCUUGGGAGGGUCAGGGGCCAGCGGAAUUCCUGGUGUAGAGGUGAAAUUCGUAGAGAUCAGGAGGAACACCGGCGGCGAAAGCGGCUGGCUGGGGCCACUCUGACGCUGAGGCGCGAAAGCGUGGGGAGCAAACAGGACUAGAUACCCUGGUAGUCCACGCCGUAAACGAUGAGAACUUGACGUCGGCAUGCUCUGCGUGUCGGUGUCGUAGCUAACGCGAUAAGUUCUCCGCCUGGGGAGUACGGCCGCAAGGUUGAAACUCAAAGGAAUUGACGG